Molecule: long non-coding RNA, 373 nt
Organism: Gasterosteus aculeatus aculeatus (three-spined stickleback)
Lineage: Eukaryota; Metazoa; Chordata; Actinopteri; Perciformes; Gasterosteidae
Source: Ensembl
CGUCGAGGCACACGACAAAAAUUGUAUUUACUCGGCAAAGUACUGAAAGCCACGUGACCCAACUUCAGAGGCGAGCUGCCGACUCCUUCUGUCAUUCACCGCCAGUUCCGCCAUCUCCCAUCUGCGGUCAGAAGUCAACGGAACGGCAACCUUGACAUUAAUCCGGCGGACUGAACUUAAGGCAACAACGGCAACCUGCCAGCGCCGGGACGCCGACCGACGGACAUUUCUUUCCUUCCUUUUACUGGAGACAUUGACAGUCUAAUUGUUCCGCUUCAAGUUGAUUAAGAACUCGACUGGACCUCCCCCCCCGCUCAGCCCCCCCAAGAUGGACAGCGAUAGUAAUGCUCUCAACAUGCGUGAGAGCACAGGG